RNAcentral lists this long non-coding RNA (1210 nucleotides) under Nicotiana tabacum (common tobacco). RNAcentral describes it as "long non-coding RNA (NTAB_LNC002898)". The record is from RNAcentral. Lineage: Eukaryota; Viridiplantae; Streptophyta; Magnoliopsida; Solanales; Solanaceae.
CUCCUUCAAUUCUCGUAGCUUUUGUAUAGCACAAUUAUUCCCUAUCACUAAACAAGCUUCACAAUACUUUGGUUUCCAUUCAAAAAUCACUAUUUGCUGAAAUGUCUUCCCUGAGGGAUCCAUCGUAAUUAUUUUAGAUGGCAGAGGUUUGGUGGCAUUAACUUCUAUAAGCAUUCCAGCAAAAGAGAUUCUAGUUUGCUUUGUCGUGCACUCAUCUGCAUAUUUAGGUACACGAAUAGCACUCGCUAUCCUUCUCAGUAAGUCCGACUGCAGCAGCUCAUGGGCAGGCUUGGGAGGUAGUUCUGUGAGGAACUCUUCAUUAAAAAUUUAAAAUCAAAUUCUAGAGUCCAUUCCUUUAAGAUCAAAGGUCUGUUGUUAAUAUUGCAAGGGCCCACAAAUAGAAUUUUAUUCAGAUCUGUACUUUGGAAAAUUUAAUAACAUAGUAGCCUUCCUCGUGAUAAUAGAUUUUAGGUUCCGCAAUAAUUUCCACUUUUUCUUCACAUAUUUCUUCAUAUAGUUAUAGCUAGGUGUUGCUCUUAUCACAUAUACUAUUAAUGCAGACUUCCAUUUAUCAAUUUCCUUGUCUGUUUUUUCUUUGUCAAGCUUUAUCGUUACAUUUCCUUCAACCAAUUCCGGAGGUAUAUAAUCAAGAGACAUACUAUUGGUUGCAGAUCGAUUGCGAGUGAAUAGUCCAGGCCAAGUGGGUCUUUCAUUGCCGAUGCAGAAUUCCUCAGUGCUGAUACCUUGGUCUUUGGAACAUUUAUGCUUGUGGCCCUUCAAUUCCUGUCAGUUAUGCCUUUGGAUCUCCACUGAGGUUUAAUUUCUUAAUCCCAAUGGUCAAUUUAGCUACCGACACCAAGGGUGAAAGUGACGGGGAUUGUGUCGCUGCUGGUGUUACAAUUCUCUGUUCAUUCCUAGCACUGACUGAGCUUCCCACUGUUACGAUUGCUUGUAUUUUCGAUCGACCUCGCCCUCUGGCCAUGGAUACCACCAUCAGCGUAGGUUAGCUUAACGUGCACCGAGAGACAUAUGCUAGAGAGAGGAUUGACAGUGUUCGUGUCCUGAAUUCCUAUUCAAAAAUAAGCAUAAAUUCAGGAACUUGGGCCAAAGCCUACACUCUUCUGGUGGGCUUUUGUAAAGGUGUUUACCUAGUAUUGCAUAUGUUUCCAUUUUACUCAAUGCUUCUUGUUUACACACCCUUUCGUGGAAU